This 253-nucleotide ribosomal RNA is filed under the name uncultured bacterium. RNAcentral describes it as "partial 16S ribosomal RNA". It matches the Rfam family "Bacterial small subunit ribosomal RNA", at positions 524 to 776 of the family's 1533-position model. The record is from RNAcentral.
UACGAAGGGUGCAAGCGUUAAUCGGAAUUACUGGGCGUAAAGCGUGCGUAGGUGGUCUUUUAAGUCCGUUGUGAAAGCCCUGGGCUCAACCUGGGAAUGGCAGUGGAUACUGGAAGGCUGGAGUACGGUAGAGGAGGGUGGAAUUCCCGGUGUAGCGGUGAAAUGCGUAGAGAUCGGGAGGAACAUCAGUGGCGAAGGCGGCCCUCUGGACCAGUACUGACGCUGAGGUGCGAAAGCGUGGGGAGCAAACAGG